RNAcentral lists this long non-coding RNA (415 nucleotides) under Nicotiana benthamiana. RNAcentral describes it as "long non-coding RNA (NBEN_LNC005611)". The record is from RNAcentral. Lineage: Eukaryota; Viridiplantae; Streptophyta; Magnoliopsida; Solanales; Solanaceae.
UGAAUGGCCGCUUGGUCGUGCUGGUCGACGAGGUGGACUGGCCGUUACCGGAGGAGACGACUGUGUAUGUUCGGUUGACUGGAGUGAGGGGUCAUUGGGUGAGCUCGUUCAUGGAGCUGAAGAAGAAAAUGAACGGGGGCUGUUUGGUUGUUCAUGGCGACGUGGGUGGUUGCUUGGAGUUCGUUUGGAUUUGGUCGUUUGGGUACGUUCUGGGGCUGGUCGUUUGGUUGAGAAGAAGAAUGUAGGGGGUAGUGGGAUGGUCGUUAGCAUGGAUGACGGUGGGGAAAACGUUUGGAGGGUGGUGGGGUGUGAGGAAGAAGAGAAGAGAGGGGAAGGGCAGCCAGGGCUUUGGGUGUUUUUAGGGUUAGGGAGGGUGGUUUGGAGAAGAUGAGUAGAAGGAGGGUGAGUGCUUAAG